This is a non-coding RNA of Hydra vulgaris (swiftwater hydra), 608 nucleotides long. Lineage: Eukaryota; Metazoa; Cnidaria; Hydrozoa; Anthoathecata; Hydridae. The record is from RefSeq and is a predicted model, not a curated record.
CUCUUUACAGAAGUUCAAUGUUUGCUCUGAGAAGUUGAAUGAACAAAAUUUAUUAAAUGAUAAAGUUGUAUCCUUGAAAGAUAUGCUGGUUUUAUUGGCAUAAUGGGCAAGCAUUGAAGUGCAACUUGGUGAACUACAAAACACAUCAAAUUCAGUUAUAAAAAUUUGAGUAACAAAUGUAUGCUAAUUAUUGUAUUGCCUGAACGAGUGUCAUUGCCGUUAAAAGAAGUGAAGAAUUCAAGUACUUUGGAAAAAAAAGACAACAAAAUACUUAAGUAAAUGGUCAAUUAUUUGGCACAAAUUGGAGUUAAAGAGAAGAAGAUUGUAUAUAUUUUUCAGAAACUGUGAAGUCAAAUAAGCAUAGCUUUUGCAGACAUGUGAUAGAGAUAGCGGAAGAAAAAAUGAUAAUCGUGGGCACCAAAUAUCAUAAGCUAAACACGAUUCAAUAACAAGUAGCUCAGCCAAUAUCGAAACUACUUUAUAAAUUUUAUAGUGAAUUUUUUUAUUUAAAACUCAAAAUGUCAGUUUUGGGUUUAAGUUUAGUGUUUGCAAUAUGUAUAUAUAACCGAACAAUUAUGUUAAAUAAAUAAAUUUUUAUACUUGUAUCA